RNAcentral lists this ribosomal RNA (252 nucleotides) under uncultured bacterium. RNAcentral describes it as "partial 16S ribosomal RNA". It matches the Rfam family "Bacterial small subunit ribosomal RNA", at positions 524 to 776 of the family's 1533-position model. The record is from RNAcentral.
UACGGAGGAUGCGAGCGUUAUCCGGAUUUAUUGGGUUUAAAGGGUGCGUAGGCGGACGCUUAAGUCAGCGGUAAAAUUGCGGGGCUCAACCUCGUCGAGCCGUUGAAACUGGGUGCCUUGAGUGGGCGAGAAGUACGCGGAAUGCGUGGUGUAGCGGUGAAAUGCAUAGAUAUCACGCAGAACUCCGAUUGCGAAGGCAGUGUACCGGCGCCCAACUGACGCUGAAGCACGAAGGCGUGGGUAUCGAACAGG